This 503-nucleotide ribosomal RNA is filed under the name uncultured bacterium. RNAcentral describes it as "partial 16S ribosomal RNA". It matches the Rfam family "Bacterial small subunit ribosomal RNA", at positions 30 to 523 of the family's 1533-position model. The record is from RNAcentral.
AUUGAACGCUGGCGGCAGGCUUAACACAUGCAAGUCGAGCGGGGUGAUGGUGCUUGCACUAUCACUUAGCGGCGGACGGGUGAGUAAUGCUUAGGAAUCUGCCUAUUAGUGGGGGACAACAUCUCGAAAGGGAUGCUAAUACCGCAUACGUCCUACGGGAGAAAGCAGGGGAUCACUUGUGACCUUGCGCUAAUAGAUGAGCCUAAGUCGGAUUAGCUAGUUGGUGGGGUAAAGGCCUACCAAGGCGACGAUCUGUAGCGGGUCUGAGAGGAUGAUCCGCCACACUGGGACUGAGACACGGCCCAGACUCCUACGGGAGGCAGCAGUGGGGAAUAUUGGACAAUGGGGGGAACCCUGAUCCGGCCAUGCCGCGUGUGUGAAGAAGGCCUUAUGGUUGUAAAGCACUUUAAGCGAGGAGGAGGCUUUUUUGGUUAAUACCCAAGAUGAGUGGACGUUACUCGCAGAAUAAGCACCGGCUAACUCUGUGCCAGCCGCCGCAGUAA